GACCAUCAGCCUGACAAACAGCGGGGCUUUGGGAGCCACAUUCAGAGUUCAGACGUCAGCAGGGGCCACAAGUACCCUCAGAGCAGCAGUAAAAGCUGCUCCUGCAAGAGUGGCCACUGAACAUCCCAGUGCCUGUGACCCUGAAGAGAAAGGCAGCACGGGCCCUGUGGCAGCUGGGGAUCCAAACAAGAGCUGUGCUGAGCCCAGGGAGGGGCUGAGCCCCUGUGCAGCCCAGGAGCCCAAGAGCAGCAGUGCCACAGAACAACUUGGUCAAAGAGAAUUAAAUAACAGAUCAGAUCUGGUCACAGACAAUGCAGAUAAUUUAGUGGAACUUUCUCCUGAAGAUAUACCAAUUGAAAUUAU
This 363-nucleotide long non-coding RNA is filed under the name Chloebia gouldiae (Gouldian finch). RNAcentral's name for it is "Erythrura gouldiae (Gouldian finch) lncRNA (ENSEGOG00005015077.1)". Lineage: Eukaryota; Metazoa; Chordata; Aves; Passeriformes; Passeridae. The record is from RNAcentral.